Molecule: ribosomal RNA, 1293 nt
Filed under: Klebsiella pneumoniae
Lineage: Bacteria; Pseudomonadati; Pseudomonadota; Gammaproteobacteria; Enterobacterales; Enterobacteriaceae
Also listed under: 1 other name
Description: partial 23S ribosomal RNA
Rfam family: Bacterial large subunit ribosomal RNA
Source: RNAcentral
UAGGUUAACGAGGCGAACCGGGGGAACUGAAACAUCUAAGUACCCCGAGGAAAAGAAAUCAACCGAGAUUCCCCCAGUAGCGGCGAGCGAACGGGGAGCAGCCCAGAGUCUGAAUCAGCUUGUGUGUUAGUGGAACGGUCUGGAAAGUCCGACGGUACAGGGUGAUAGUCCCGUACACCAAAAUGCACAGGCUGUGAACUCGAAGAGUAGGGCGGGACACGUGGUAUCCUGUCUGAAUAUGGGGGGACCAUCCUCCAAGGCUAAAUACUCCUGACUGACCGAUAGUGAACCAGUACCGUGAGGGAAAGGCGAAAAGAACCCCGGCGAGGGGAGUGAAAAAGAACCUGAAACCGUGUACGUACAAGCAGUGGGAGCACCUUCGGGUGUGACUGCGUACCUUUUGUAUAAUGGGUCAGCGACUUAUAUUCUGUAGCAAGGUUAACCGUAUAGGGGAGCCGCAGGGAAACCGAGUCUUAACUGGGCGUUAAGUUGCAGGGUAUAGACCCGAAACCCGGUGAUCUAGCCAUGGGCAGGUUGAAGGUUGGGUAACACUAACUGGAGGACCGAACCGACUAAUGUUGAAAAAUUAGCGGAUGACUUGUGGCUGGGGGUGAAAGGCCAAUCAAACCGGGAGAUAGCUGGUUCUCCCCGAAAGCUAUUUAGGUAGCGCCUCGUGAAUUCAUCUUCGGGGGUAGAGCACUGUUUCGGCUAGGGGGUCAUCCCGACUUACCAACCCGAUGCAAACUACGAAUACCGAAGAAUGUUAUCACGGGAGACACACGGCGGGUGCUAACGUCCGUCGUGAAGAGGGAAACAACCCAGACCGCCAGCUAAGGUCCCAAAGUCAUGGUUAAGUGGGAAACGAUGUGGGAAGGCACAGACAGCCAGGAUGUUGGCUUAGAAGCAGCCAUCAUUUAAAGAAAGCGUAAUAGCUCACUGGUCGAGUCGGCCUGCGCGGAAGAUGUAACGGGGCUAAACCAUGCACCGAAGCUGCGGCAGCGACACUAUGUGUUGUUGGGUAGGGGAGCGUUCUGUAAGCCUGCGAAGGUGACCUGUGAGGGUUGCUGGAGGUAUCAGAAGUGCGAAUGCUGACAUAAGUAACGAUAAAGCGGGUGAAAAGCCCGCUCGCCGGAAGACCAAGGGUUCCUGUCCAACGUUAAUCGGGGCAGGGUGAGUCGACCCCUAAGGCGAGGCCGAAAGGCGUAGUCGAUGGGAAACAGGUUAAUAUUCCUGUACUUGGUGUUACUGCGAAGGGGGGACGGAGAAGGCUAUGUUAGCCGGGCGACGGUUGUC